RNAcentral lists this ribosomal RNA (1612 nucleotides) under Escherichia coli. RNAcentral's name for it is "partial 23S ribosomal RNA". It matches the Rfam family "Bacterial large subunit ribosomal RNA", at positions 1214 to 2808 of the family's 2925-position model. The record is from RNAcentral. Lineage: Bacteria; Pseudomonadati; Pseudomonadota; Gammaproteobacteria; Enterobacterales; Enterobacteriaceae.
CUAUGUGUUGUUGGGUAGGGGAGCGUUCUGUAAGCCUGCGAAGGUGUACUGUGAGGUAUGCUGGAGGUAUCAGAAGUGCGAAUGCUGACAUAAGUAACGAUAAAGCGGGUGAAAAGCCCGCUCGCCGGAAGACCAAGGGUUCCUGUCCAACGUUAAUCGGGGCAGGGUGAGUCGACCCCUAAGGCGAGGCCGAAAGGCGUAGUCGAUGGGAAACAGGUUAAUAUUCCUGUACUUGGUGUUACUGCGAAGGGGGGACGGAGAAGGCUAUGUUGGCCGGGCGACGGUUGUCCCGGUUUAAGCGUGUAGGCUGGUUUUCCAGGCAAAUCCGGAAAAUCAAGGCUGAGGCGUGAUGACGAGGCACUACGGUGCUGAAGCAACAAAUGCCCUGCUUCCAGGAAAAGCCUCUAAGCAUCAGGUAACAUCAAAUCGUACCCCAAACCGACACAGGUGGUCAGGUAGAGAAUACCAAGGCGCUUGAGAGAACUCGGGUGAAGGAACUAGGCAAAAUGGUGCCGUAACUUCGGGAGAAGGCACGCUGAUAUGUAGGUGAAGUCCCUCGCGGAUGGAGCUGAAAUCAGUCGAAGAUACCAGCUGGCUGCAACUGUUUAUUAAAAACACAGCACUGUGCAAACACGAAAGUGGACGUAUACGGUGUGACGCCUGCCCGGUGCCGGAAGGUUAAUUGAUGGGGUUAGCGGUAACGCGAAGCUCUUGAUCGAAGCCCCGGUAAACGGCGGCCGUAACUAUAACGGUCCUAAGGUAGCGAAAUUCCUUGUCGGGUAAGUUCCGACCUGCACGAAUGGCGUAAUGAUGGCCAGGCUGUCUCCACCCGAGACUCAGUGAAAUUGAACUCGCUGUGAAGAUGCAGUGUACCCGCGGCAAGACGGAAAGACCCCGUGAACCUUUACUAUAGCUUGACACUGAACAUUGAGCCUUGAUGUGUAGGAUAGGUGGGAGGCUUUGAAGUGUGGACGCCAGUCUGCAUGGAGCCGACCUUGAAAUACCACCCUUUAAUGUUUGAUGUUCUAACGUUGGCCCCUGAUCGGGGUUGCGGACAGUGUCUGGUGGGUAGUUUGACUGGGGCGGUCUCCUCCUAAAGAGUAACGGAGGAGCACGAAGGUUGGCUAAUCCUGGUCGGACAUCAGGAGGUUAGUGCAAUGGCAUAAGCCAGCUUGACUGCGAGCGUGACGGCGCGAGCAGGUGCGAAAGCAGGUCAUAGUGAUCCGGUGGUUCUGAAUGGAAGGGCCAUCGCUCAACGGAUAAAAGGUACUCCGGGGAUAACAGGCUGAUACCGCCCAAGAGUUCAUAUCGACGGCGGUGUUUGGCACCUCGAUGUCGGCUCAUCACAUCCUGGGGCUGAAGUAGGUCCCAAGGGUAUGGCUGUUCGCCAUUUAAAGUGGUACGCGAGCUGGGUUUAGAACGUCGUGAGACAGUUCGGUCCCUAUCUGCCGUGGGCGCUGGAGAACUGAGGGGGGCUGCUCCUAGUACGAGAGGACCGGAGUGGACGCAUCACUGGUGUUCGGGUUGUCAUGCCAAUGGCACUGCCCGGUAGCUAAAUGCGGAAGAGAUAAGUGCUGAAAGCAUCUAAGCACGAAACUUGCCCCGAGAUGAG